RNAcentral lists this long non-coding RNA (4191 nucleotides) under Lathyrus oleraceus (garden pea). RNAcentral's name for it is "Pisum sativum (pea) long non-coding RNA (PSAT_LNC019946)". Lineage: Eukaryota; Viridiplantae; Streptophyta; Magnoliopsida; Fabales; Fabaceae. The record is from RNAcentral.
UGUUCCAAAAUUAUGCCUGUUAUAUUGUCAUCAAUAGAACAAAAUUUCAACUUGGUGGUUUACAUGGAUGAUAUAGUCAUAAUAGGGAAUGAACAAUAGAAAAUUUAUUAGUUGAAAGAACAUUUAUGUAGCCAUUUUCAAACCAAGGACUUGGAGAAACUAAAAUAUAUUCUUGGGGUUGAACUUGAUCAUUUAAAUGAUGAGAUUAUCAUCUUACAUAAGUAGUAUGCCUUAGAUAAACUUAAAGAAACUAGUAUGUUGUACAAUAAACUGAUUGGAAGUACAAUGGAUCCAAAUGUAAAAUCACUUCAUAGUCAGGGGUGCCUUAUUCUAAUCUAUAAAGAUAUCAAAUAUUAGUUAUAAAACUCAUUUAUCUCAUUAUAACAAGAACAUAUAUUUCCUUUGCGGAUGGCAUAGUAAGUCAAUUCAUGCAAUGUAUGCACAAUCAUCAUUGGCAUGUAGUGAACAAAAUUUUGAAUUACAUUUAAAGGGAACCACAACAAGGGCUACUUUAUGAAGACAAAUCAUACAUUAAAAUAGUUAGAUUUUGGUAUGCAUAUUAGACAGGUUCCCCUAUUGAUAGGUGUCUCACUUCAGGAUAUUGUGUUUCUAUUGGUGAAAAUAUUGUCUCUUGAAAGAGAAAGAAGAAAAUAUGGUUGCAAGGUCUGGUGCAAAGGCUGAAUAUAGAGCUUUGGCUACAACCACUUGUAAACUUAUCUGUAUUAAACAACUUCUUCAAGACUUGAAGUUUGGAGACACUUAAUUGAUGAAACUAUGUUAUGAUAACUAGAGAGAUCUACAUAUAGCUUCCAAUCCGGUAUUCCAUGAGAGAACUAAACAAAUUGAAAUUGAUUGUCAUUUUUUAUCAUGAGAAAGUUAUUUCUAAAGAAUUCAUCACUAAAUAUUUAACCUCAAAUGACCAACUAGCAGGCGCCUUCACAAAAUAUCUAAGGGGACUAAGAACUCAAUACAUUUGUUCAAAACUUAGAGCAUUUGAAUUAUAUUAUCUAGCUUGAGGGAGAGUGUUGAAAUUAAUAGCAAUUAUGAAAUGAUGGAAUUAGUAUAAAUUAUUAGUAUGAAAAGUUGUUGUAAUCUAGUUAGUCUUGAAUUUAGGAAAUAACAUUCAUGCACCUAGGAAAUAACAUUGUUAUUAUAAUAAAUUAUAUUUAUUUCUAGUAGUAUAUAAAAAUGAUGGAUCAACUAAGUUUAAAUCACUCAAUCAUUUCACAAAUCUCUUAAUCCUCUACCAAAGUCUCUGAUCAUGGUAUCGCAAGCCUAUCAACACGAGUCACCUACAUAUAUAUCCACAUAUUAAGCCCAAUAAUGAUGAGAGUGAAGGGGUGUAUUGGGGAAAACCCAAGUCUUGCAUUGGUUAAACUUAUAACCUACAAAAUGUUUAUAUAAAUUGUUACCCAUCACCUUACAAGUAGGUUUUAUAUGGAUGAUUUAGGUCAAACUCUCAUUCUAUCACCCCAAAAGUUGGAGACUUACGACAUGACUAGGGGUCCUAAUGAGCACGACAUCAUAUAGACAUUUUAAUUGAUCAUCACCAACCCAAGAGUGUAGUGAAAUGCAAAAAAAAAAUUGCACUGACCUUUAAGGGGGUAACCACGACAUUGUUCGAAUCCAUAGAAAACAACUCCAUCAACCUCUAGUGGAAAUAUUGUGAUGAAAUCACUUCUUAGUUUACAAAACAAAUACGUGUGCCAAAGAUAACAAUCGUUCUUAGUGGUAUUCAUUAGAGGAAGAAGGAGACAUUAAGAGAGUACAUCGAUAGAUUCACUAAAAGGACAGUUGAAGUAAGAAAAGCUAAUACCAAGUUAAAAUCUGGAAUGUAUUGAACUAGACUGCAUGUUUAGGUAAAAGUCGAGGUUGGAGGAACCAAAGAACAUGAUUGACCUCCUUACUCAAGCUCAACCAUACAUCAACUAUAAAGAGAAAAUUCUAGUUGAAGAUGUCAAGAAGAUAUUCCAUGAUGGGCAUCUUCAGAUUAUCAUUUAUUUCCGUUUCCAUUAUGGAAUAAAACUCCAUCUGUGGGAUUCGUCUUCUAAUUCUCACAAUUUAUCCAUUGAAUUCUUAUGAUCUUCUCUAUUGCACCGCUGCAACUAUUUCUGUUAAGUGCUUUGAUCGUUGUAACCGCCUCAAACACGUUGUUCAUAUUGUCUUUUCUGAUUAUUAGUCUGAAAUGAAUCGUAAUCACAACACCAUUCUUAUUCUUGAUAUCCAUUCAACGAUUCAAACUCUGAAACAUAAUACGUACCCUAUUCUCACUCUUGUGACAAACGAAACUGGUGGAACAUGAAAAUCUCAAGCUUCGAUCGUAAUGCCUAAACAUAAUGUUUAAGAAUCUCAAUAGAACUCUGCAUCCCAGUAUCAUCAUCUCUCUUCUUCACUAGGAACUAAAUUGUCACAUGACAUUCAAUAAUUUCAAGCUUCAGAGUAGUUGAACUCAUGUUGAAUAUCUUUAGCCUAGUCCAAAAAUAGACGAUACUACAAAAAAUACAUCUUACUUCGGGCGAAAAGUAGAUUUUACAUCGGUUACACAUGAAAAGUAAUAAAGGGUGAUAUGAAAAAUUGCCACUUUGCCGCUCGAUUUCUGAAUAACCGAGGGGUAAAGUGGCAAAGGUCAUGGGUUCAAUUCCCAAUGAGAUCCUUUAAGUGAUUUUUAAAUGGAGAAAAAUCUUAUCCCUACAGUUUUAAAAUAUAAUCGACGUGUAAAACAAGUUUGAGUUUAUUAAUCUAAUUUGGAUUGCCUGUAUCAUUUAGCCAUAGCUAAAGAUAUAACUUUUCAAAUUGGUUUACAAAAUAAUGAUAUGAAAAAUUGUAUUUGAAGAAUAAAUUAAACUAAUUAAUUAUUUUUUACCAUUUUGCAAGUCAUCAUUCAUCUAUUGUUCAUUAAUGGUUAAAAUCUCUUCAAUGCUUCUACUUUUCGUUCAACUUUCUUCAAUGCUUGUUCAUUCAACAUGUAUAGAAGAAAGUUGAACGAAAACUAAACGCAUUGGAGAGAUUUUAAACAUCAAAUAACGUGUAAUGAAUGAUGAGUUGUAAAAUGCCUUAAAAACAUUUAUUAGUGUAAGAUCUUUUUUAAAUGGGACAUAAUUGUUCAUAUUAUUAUUUUCAAAAACAGUUUAAUAGAUUAUAUGUUCAAAGAGAGAUUAGUGAAACAAAUAACCAAUAUUAGAUAUAACAAAUUCAACUGUAUUUUCUAUCACAAUAAUGUCCUCUUGAAAUGUUCAGAGGAACAAGAUGAGAGUUGCUUAAAGAAUCACGAAAAACGUAAUCUUAGUCUCAAUCUCAUACUCAAAAUCAAUAACAACAAAUAAACCCUAAACAUAUAGAUUUUAAACAUUUUCUAAGUAUAACAACUAGAUAACAACAACAAUAACAUCAAUAAAUAAAAAAAAUAACAAUAACAUUAACAUUAUAUCAAUCCAAACAACAACUAACAUUAAACAACAACUAAAAAAAAAACUCUCAACAAAAAUACACCAACAUCAACAAUAAACAUAUAACAUCAAUCUCAAUAAAUCUAUAACAUAUUUAUUUAAACCAAAAACAAUAAUAUAUAAUAUCAAUCUCAGUUUAAACAACAACAAAAAGAUUAAACCUCUAACGAGUCUAAAAAAUAACAACAAGAUUGAACCCUCUAAGGUUCCAGGGCUCAAUAACAACAAUAAACAAAAACAAACAACAACAACAACAACAUUAAUGUAACAUGAAUAGUGAUGUUAGACAUACCAGAUCUGUGAAGAAGAAGAAGAAGAAGAAGAAGAAGAAAAAGAAAAAGUGAACAAGACCCCUAAACACAUAUGAUUUAUGUAUUUCCUUGCCUUUUCAAGAAUUAGAGGAUGAUUUGUCUGUAUGAUUCUCAUUGUUUAGAGCUCUUCAUUAGGGUUCUGUGGGGGUUGUUUUAUUUUAUGUUUUAUAGGUAAGUGAAACUAAACACUACAAGCUAAGCUACAUAUAUCAGAGUAAACAAUUUUACCUCGGUUUUUAAACAAAACCAAGGUGAAAAGUGGCUUUUUACCCCUUAAUUUUAUAAAAGAGCCGAGGUAAUAUAUUACUUGCAAAAAAAUGGUGAAUUGUAAAAAAUUAAAAAGUAACAUGUAUUAUUUUCUUUUUCAAUUUUUUAUCAUUCACCAUUUAAUUUUGUCUACUGUGAUAAUAAAAAAAGGACUUGUAUUGUGAAAC